This 72-nucleotide transfer RNA is filed under the name Erinaceus europaeus (western European hedgehog). It matches the Rfam family "tRNA". From Rfam's summary of the family: Transfer RNA (tRNA) molecules are approximately 80 nucleotides in length. Their secondary structure includes four short double-helical elements and three loops (D, anti-codon, and T loops). The record is from Rfam by way of RNAcentral. Lineage: Eukaryota; Metazoa; Chordata; Mammalia; Eulipotyphla; Erinaceidae.
GGGGGUAUAGCUUAAGGGCAGAGCAUUUGACUGCAGAUCAUGAGGUCCAUGGUUCAAAUCCAGGUGCUCCCU